AAAUAUUCGUCCACUAGUUUUAUUGUUGGAAUGAAACAUAGCAAGACUUGCAUUGCCUACUAAGAAAGUUAGUAGCCGGUAGUCAUCGGGUUAAGGGAGAAAUCGUUGGGGAUGCCGUCAAUAAUGAAGGGCGAAGCCGUAGGCAAGCGUUGAAUGGGUUGUUUUCCCGCACAUCUUCAUGGUUCGAAAUUUCGUCAAGAAAUUAAAAUAAAAAUUAUCUUUGCUCAUUUAGAAACGCUCCCUUAUAAACACUUACUUCUAUAUAUGACGUGAAUAACCAAUCGAAAGCUCCGAAUGUCCUUCUAGUGGUUUUCUUAGCCAUUUUGACGUGUUAUUAUGCUAAUUCCUUCAUUUCACGCAAGAUUUGACUUCAGACGACCAAUCUUUAAAAUGAGAGAAAACGUCUUAACGGAAACUUGGCUGAACCCUACUUUUGCUACAACACUUCUUUCAGCUGCUUGUAUUUUCUUGUUCCUUCGUUGGUUCUUAUCACGACCCAGGAACUUUCCACCAGGUCCUUUCGGUCUUCCCAUCGUCGGAUAUCUUCCUUUCCUUAGCAAAAAACCUUUUCUGGAUUU
Molecule: long non-coding RNA, 578 nt
Organism: Limulus polyphemus (Atlantic horseshoe crab)
Lineage: Eukaryota; Metazoa; Arthropoda; Merostomata; Xiphosura; Limulidae
Exons: 2
Source: RefSeq, a predicted model, not a curated record